AGGAAAUGGCCUCAAGUAGUGCAGGGUUGCUCAGAGCGCUAAUUGCAGCACAUGGCUAAGGGCGAGUGUACCUCCAGGCCAGAUGGAAUUGAACUGGAAGUGAACAUUGCUGGUCUCGGAAAUGGGCUUAUGCUGGGGCCAGAACUGACUGGGAAUACUUCCCUGGAACUUCUGCUGCCUCAGCAAAAUAUCUACCAAGAAAUUAUGGAAUCG
RNAcentral lists this long non-coding RNA (213 nucleotides) under Gallus gallus (chicken). Lineage: Eukaryota; Metazoa; Chordata; Aves; Galliformes; Phasianidae. The record is from RNAcentral.